UUGAAUUUCCAACCCCUAUGUCACACUUUUGCUUCAUUAUUUUGAAAACCACCAAUAUGUUUCCUCAUAGAUUUUUUUAUACUAUACUAUACUUAUUUCAGAUGAAGAUAUAAAUUUAUUCAAAGAAAUAAUGGGACAAUGAAUGCUAAAAUUGCCAAGAAGAAGACUGCCAAUUUACACACCAUUUUAUACAGUUACAGUAUGAUAUGGUGAACAAAAUGCCUCAAUGCAGCCAGUUCUGGAGCUUUGGCUAGACUAUGAACAGUAGACAUCAAAAGAUGAUCAUCUGAAGGGCCACAAUUGUUUAAAGCACUAGUCAACAAAAACUGAACUAUUUGAUGGAUCAUACAUCUGCAGAAUGUACUACCAUAUUUCCAGAAUCAGAGAAAUAGAAAUAUCUAGUAUUAGA
Long non-coding RNA from Mercenaria mercenaria, 409 nucleotides. RefSeq lists it as uncharacterized. The record is from RefSeq and is a predicted model, not a curated record. Lineage: Eukaryota; Metazoa; Mollusca; Bivalvia; Venerida; Veneridae. The transcript is spliced from 3 exons.